GACGAACGCUGGCGGCGUGCUUAACACAUGCAAGUCGAGCGGUAAGGCCCUUUCGGGGGUACGACGAGCGGCGAACGGGUGAGUAACACGUGGGUGACCUGCCCUCAGCUCUGGGAUAAGCCUGGGAAACCGGGUCUAAUACUGGAUAUGACUCCAUGACGCAUGUUGUGGGGUGGAAAGCCUUGUGCGGCUGAGGAUGGGCCCGCGGCCUAUCAGCUUGUUGGUGGGGUGAGGCCUACCAAGGCGACGACGGGUAGCCGCCUGAGAGGGCGACCGGCCACACUGGGACUGAGACACGGCCCAGACUCCUACGGGAGGCAGCAGUGGGGAAUCUUGCGCAAUGGGCGAAAGCCUGACGCAGCGACGCCGCGUGAGGGA
RNAcentral lists this ribosomal RNA (378 nucleotides) under uncultured bacterium. RNAcentral's name for it is "bacterial SSU rRNA". It matches the Rfam family "Bacterial small subunit ribosomal RNA", at positions 28 to 408 of the family's 1533-position model. The record is from RNAcentral.